This is a long non-coding RNA of Beta vulgaris subsp. vulgaris (sugar beet), 2611 nucleotides long. RefSeq lists it as uncharacterized. The record is from RefSeq and is a predicted model, not a curated record. Lineage: Eukaryota; Viridiplantae; Streptophyta; Magnoliopsida; Caryophyllales; Amaranthaceae. The transcript is spliced from 3 exons.
AAUGCUCGGGUUGAUCAAUCAACCCGAGCAUUUGAUAUCAAAUGCUCCGGUGGUUUAGUCAACCCGAGCAUUUGGACCCUCUCUAUAUCUAAACCUAUUAAAGAAUGGGAAGUUUUGUUACUGUAAACUUGCAACAAUUACUUGGCGUAUUAUCUCCUCUUCUAUCUGUCCCUCCUCUUCCUUUCUCUCUCCUCACUCCCACCAUAACCCACCGUCACUCCCUCACCUCACUGGUCAUCCACCAUCACCAAGCAGGUAAAAACCUCCAUUUAAAAAAAAAAUCCCCCUUAUCUUCCCCAAUUUCUCUCUCCUAGGGUUUACUUUCACUUCAACUACCCUAAUUUUCGCUCAUCAACCUUAAUUCUUCAUAAAUUACUCCCGAAUUUCUCCUGCAAUUCUUCAUCACAAGCACUCAUCAAUGGCGAUUUUUUCCCGGCCGAAUAUUCUCUCCGUUCACCGCCGACUGUCAGAAGAGCGAUUAUCUUCUUCAAGUUUCUCUCUCCUUCGCAUUUCCGGCGCAUAGGAAAACUCGAUGGCAAGGUUUCAUGAAUUGAUUCCUAUAAACUUGUAUGAUUUGCGUGAAGAAAUUAAGAGUGCUUGUGAGUACCGACCUUUUGAGAAGUGCGAUUACAGUGCUAGAUUAUCGAGCGAGAUUUCUUGCAAGAAGCUGGAGUACGUUAUUUCUCAGCUCGAUAAGAUGAAGGAGACGAUUGAUCAAUAUCAGGAAUCUGCAUGACAUGGAUCAAAAUGUAAGCUUCUCUAUAUUUUUUGUCCACUAUGUCAGCUUUCCUGGCUAUUUUGAUUUGGACGUUGGAUGAUGUACUUGUGUUAGGUGAUGUCAUAUGGGAUUUGAUUUUCUUUGCUGGUGUGAAUGCUGUAGCGGUCCUCUACUGCAUAAGUGUACUUCAUUGAUUUGUCAUUUUAAUGGGGGCAGUUGAUGUAGGAUGACUUUGUGCAGUUGAAGUGGGCCGUGGGCAUAUAAUAACACCUGAAUUCUCCAAUUUGCGAAUUUUUUUUGCUUAAUUUUGUUUUUCAGUGCCCUCUUUAGAAAGACAUUGCUGUUUCAGAUUCCUUUUUGUUUUCCGUUUCAGUUUCAUUUUUUAGAUGGGCUAGAUGUCUCAGUGAGCUCGUGAAAUACGCUUCUGAGCUUUGCCCAAGAUUUGUUCAGGAAGCAAAGUGAGCAACCUUGUUUUUCGACUGGCUAAUCUGGGAUACUCGAUCUUAACUAAUGGCUUCUGGAUGAUAUACCAUUUUAACUAGAUUACAAAUAAUUAGACGUUUAUAUUAUUGUUCAUGUCAAUAUUACUUCCUCUGUUCCAGAUUAGUUUGAACCUUUUUUAUUUAUCUGAAAAUAGUUUGAGCACUUCUAUUUUAGGAAUGUAUGGUCCCACUAGUUUUUCAAUUUUUCUCACCUGCCCUUUUUCCCUCACCACACUUUCUCGUUGGAAUAAAAAAAUACCCCACUUUAUCUUAUAACAUCGAACUUUUUAAGAAAAGCAAUUCAUAACCACUCAACAACUCAUCUCCUAAAAAUUUGUCAUUUUGACGGGGGAUUACUAUUUAAAGUAAUCUGGCUGUACUUGAUAAGCUUCUAUGUAUGUGCUCAUAUGUCAGUUCUUUUCUCAAUUGUAAUGCAUAAUUUUAAUUUCUGCGAAUGGUUAUCUUAAUGCUUGAACACAAAUGUAGUACUUAAAAUGAGAGUGAUAUGCUAUGACAGGUCUGAGGUUAUUCGCUGUCUUGCAUAUAUCACACCUAUUGAGUUAGGUGGCAGGGCUAAUCAGUCACAAGAUGGAGAUAACAAGUUGGAUCAAUGGCUCAUGCAAUGUUUGCUUGUUCAUGUCCUCCUGACGCCAGGGAGGCUGCUUGUUUUGGGGCAACAAAAGAGCUUUUCAGACUUAUUUUUCCGUCACUUAAAUCUGGAUCUGAAUCUCAAGUGGAUCAUGUUUUUUCUUUUAUGUGGGCGAGGAGAUAUAGUUGAAGUUUUGUUCAUAACUGAUUGAACUCCUGCUCGAACUUGAAGUUCGAAUCUGCUAAGACAUCUACAUGUCGACAGCCGUGUCGGUGAUGCUGCGCUUGGCUGGUUGCUAGUUUUAUUAUCAAAGAUUUGUCGAACUCAUAUCUUGUAGUUUACAAUUGUAAUUUUUUUGUAUUUAUAAACAAUCAGAAAGUGAACUAUUAUCUAUAUGUAUUGGUUGUGCAUUAAUACUGAACAAAAAAAAAAGCAAAAAAAUUUUUUUUUUUUUAAUUAUUUUUGGGCCCUUAAAUGCUCCGGUUUUACCAGUAAACCGGAGCAUUUGUGAAUACAAAUGCUUCGGUUUACUGGUAAAACCGGAGCAUUUAAGGCCCCAAAUGCUCCGAUUGUUUUGAAAAACCGGAACAUUUGUGACACAAAUGCUCCAGUUACAAACCGGAGCAUUUAUAAAUGUCUCAAAUGCUCGUGUGACUUAUGCUCCGCGCCAAAAACGGAGCAUUUGGGGCCUAAAAGACCGGAGCAUUUGAGGUUUUUUCUACUAGUGCUUCUUUAGCCUUCUCCAAUUUGGCUUGAAUCUUAGGGUAAAUCUGUGAUGUCCUCUUCUUCAUGUCUUUUUUUUUUUAGGACAACCUCUGCAUA